This 253-nucleotide ribosomal RNA is filed under the name uncultured bacterium. Its description in RNAcentral is "partial 16S ribosomal RNA". It matches the Rfam family "Bacterial small subunit ribosomal RNA", at positions 524 to 776 of the family's 1533-position model. The record is from RNAcentral.
UACGGAGGGGGCUAGCGUUGUUCGGAAUUACUGGGCGUAAAGCGCACGUAGGCGGCUUUGUAAGUUAGAGGUGAAAGCCCGGGGCUCAACUCCGGAAUUGCCUUUAAGACUGCAUCGCUAGAAUUGUGGAGAGGUAAGUGGAAUUCCGAGUGUAGAGGUGAAAUUCGUAGAUAUUCGGAAGAACACCAGUGGCGAAGGCGACUUACUGGACUGUAACUGACGCUGAGGCAUGAAAGCGUGGGGAGCAAACAGG